Molecule: ribosomal RNA, 119 nt
Filed under: Sinocyclocheilus anshuiensis
Lineage: Eukaryota; Metazoa; Chordata; Actinopteri; Cypriniformes; Cyprinidae
Source: RNAcentral
GCUUAUGGCCAUACCACCUUGUCUGCGCCCAAUCUCAUCUGACCUCGGAAGCUAAGCAGGAUCGGACCUGGUUAGUACUUGGAUGGGAGACCACCUGGGAAUACCAGGUGCUGUAAGCU